Manis pentadactyla (Chinese pangolin) is the source of this 70-nucleotide small nucleolar RNA. RefSeq annotates it as small nucleolar RNA SNORD113/SNORD114 family. The transcript has a single exon. The record is from RefSeq and is a predicted model, not a curated record. NCBI's taxonomy places the organism in Eukaryota, Metazoa, Chordata, Mammalia, Pholidota, Manidae.
UGGAUCAAUGAUGAUGACUGGUGGCAUAUGAGUCAUGAACAAUGAAUACAUGUGAAGCUCUGAGGUCCAA